RNAcentral lists this small RNA (148 nucleotides) under Macaca fascicularis (crab-eating macaque). Its description in RNAcentral is "Metazoan signal recognition particle RNA (ENSMFAG00000058594.1)". The record is from Rfam by way of RNAcentral. Lineage: Eukaryota; Metazoa; Chordata; Mammalia; Primates; Cercopithecidae.
GCCAGGCGUGGUGGCGCACACCUGUAAUCCAAGCUACUUGGGAGGCUGAGGCAUGAGAAUUGCUUGAACCCGGGAGGUGGAGGUUGCAGUGAGCUGAGAUUGCGCCACUGCACUCCAGCCUGGGCAACAGAGUGAGACCCUGUCUCAA